RNAcentral lists this ribosomal RNA (295 nucleotides) under Blastocystis sp. subtype 3. RNAcentral's name for it is "partial 18S small subunit ribosomal RNA". It matches the Rfam family "Eukaryotic small subunit ribosomal RNA", at positions 53 to 368 of the family's 1831-position model. The record is from RNAcentral. Lineage: Eukaryota; Bigyra; Opalinata; Blastocystidae.
GCAUGUGUAAGUAUAAAUAGUUAACUUUGAAACUGCGAAUGGCUCAUUAUAUCAGUUAUAGUUUAUUUGAUGAAGAAUACUAAUUGGAUAACCGUAGUAAUUCUAGAGCUAAUACAUGUAUAAAGUCUUGUAGACUGCAUUUAUUAGAAUGAAAACCAUAGGUUUCGGCCUAUUCGUGAGUAAUAAUAACUAAUCAUAUCGUAUGCUUAUGUAACGAUGUGUCUUUCAAGUUUCUGCCCUAUCAGCUUUCGAUGGUAGUGUAUUGGACUACCAUGGCAGUAACGGGUAACGAAGA